RNAcentral lists this ribosomal RNA (254 nucleotides) under uncultured bacterium. Its description in RNAcentral is "partial 16S ribosomal RNA". It matches the Rfam family "Bacterial small subunit ribosomal RNA", at positions 524 to 776 of the family's 1533-position model. The record is from RNAcentral.
UACGUAGGGUGCAAGCGUUGUCCGGAAUUAUUGGGCGUAAAGAGCUCGUAGGCGGUGUGUCGCGUCGGCCGUGAAAACCUGCAGCUUAACUGUGGGCUUGCGGUCGAUACGGGCAUCACUGGAGUUCGGCAGGGGAGACUGGAAUUCCUGGUGUAGCGGUGAAAUGCGCAGAUAUCAGGAGGAACACCGGUGGCGAAGGCGGGUCUCUGGGCCGAUACUGACGCUGAGGCACGAAGGUCAGGGGAGCAAACGGG